Molecule: ribosomal RNA, 271 nt
Filed under: uncultured prokaryote
Description: partial 16S ribosomal RNA
Rfam family: Bacterial small subunit ribosomal RNA
Source: RNAcentral
UACGUAGGUGGCAAGCGUUAUCCGGAUUUACUGGGCGUAAAGGGCGCGCAGGCGGCCUGUCAAGUCAGUAGUGGAAGUCCACUUUUCAAGGAUGGAAGUGCUAUAGAAACUGAUGGGCUUGAGUGCAGGAGAGGUUAUCGGAAUUCCCGGUGUAGCGGUGAAAUGCGUAGAGAUCGGGAGGAACACCAGUGGCGAAGGCGGGUAACUGGACUGCAACUGACGCUGAGGCGCGAAAGUGUGGGGAGCAAACAGGAUUAGAUACCCCGGUAGU